GUACAUAAGAAGCAUUGCAUCUGUCUUGACCUCAUCCCUUCGGUCCCUAUCUCUCUCCUGCAGCACGGAGGACAGUGAGGAUCACAGAGCGAGCAGAGACCUCGUUAUGCGACUGCUGAGCUAAGUCACCACAAUGACAAGAUGUGAAAUUACACGCUGGGUGAUGCAAAACACGGAGGACAGGAAAGGACGGACGGCGUGCACGAAGACCACAAAUCCUCAAACCCUCCCUCCCUCCCCAGGCCGUGCUGACACCUCCCGCUGCGCCUAAGCUGAGUGGAUGUCUGUUUCGGCCCCAGAGCCAGCAGAGAAGCAUCUAUUGGCGUCCCUGGGCUGCGGAGGGGCUUCACAUUAAGAUAAUUAGACAAAGAGAAGGUGCAGGGAUGAGACCCUGGAGAGCAGGAGGCACUUCGGAGUCUGUGACUGACAGGUUUUAGUCUAGUUGCUCACUGUGGCCUUAUUUGCGCCUUAAGUGUACUUUUAUGGUCGAAACAAUACUUGCGUGGCACCAAAUAGCUGCACGGAGACGUCUGAAAAUGUGGGAAAGUGAUGGGAUUCUAUCAGGAGGGAAGAGCUAAAUCACCUUUUAAUGCAAGGUGCUAUGAGGACACAGAUGGUGAGGUCUGGUGGCAGGGAGGGGAAGUGUGUCACAGGGUGCAAGUAUAUUAUGUGGAGCUGAAGUUUUUUACAUUUUGGAAAAUAGGUUUAUUUGCUUUCUAGUCAAGAGUUAGAACCACCUGUGUGCUAAAUAUGAAGCUAGAGCUAGGACACAGUUAGCUUAGCUUAGCGGGGGGGGGAAACAGCUAGCCUGGCUCUACUAGCACUUUUGAAGCUGACCGAAAAGUAAAAAUACACAAAUACACAAGUUUUAUAGAAGGUUAUACUCGUUAUGUGCCAAGAAAUACUCCAGAACAUAACCCCUGUUAAUCCACACAUCUUUGUUAUCACACGUCAGAAGCCACUGCUCAGUAUAUGCUAAGCUAAGCUAACGUCUGCUGGCUGUAGCUUCAUAUUUACCGAACAGAUAUGAAUUUUGUCAGGUAACUCUCACCAAGAAGGUAAAUAACGUAUUUCCCAAAAUGUCAAACUACUCCUUGAAGUGUUUGCGUGUUAAGUACAUUUUGAGUGUGCAAUAAGACUUUGUUCUUUUUUGGAAACGGCAGUUUGAACGAAAGUAAAUCAAUAAAAAUGGAACAAAACAAAGCGUUGUCUUCAGCGGCCUGGAUGAAAGACAUGUAGCAGUAGAUAUAGCAGAAGCUUGACUGUCGCUCCGACGAGCUACGAGCCUGAAAGACAAACUCUGGGAUGAAGCCUCGACUUCACCUGUUUUUCUUGCCUGUUUGAACACGAGGACAGAAGCUGAGCUUCAAACGAAGCUGUUGCCACAGUGACGCCUCCCAGAUAACUACCUCCAGCUCUGUGAUUUUCUCUCUCGCAGCUUCUCUUUGCUUGUUUUAUAUGGCCUGUGCAGCCGAGUGUGUGUUCACUCGCUGGAGCUUCUCUUUCCGCUCUGACACUCUGCAAUCAGAUGUGACACACUGAAGGCUCGGAUGACAGCUGGGAAGACAAGGUCACACAGUCACCUACUUUUAACGAAGGAUAUGCACAGCUCCUUUUGACAGGCGCACACACUUGUACACACAGUCACAUGGCGGAGCUGGAGUAUUUUGCAGACGGGGCCUUUCCUCGUGCCUGUGCAAUCUCAGAAGCAAUUACCUAUUAAAAUUUCAUCCUUCCCAUCUCAGAAUGUUUAAGGAAAGAUUAUAACGGCUGUGGAGGUAAUUAAGCCUGCAAAUGGUAAAUUGAGUUGUGAAUACAGAGGAACCGUGUGUGUGUGUGUGUGUGUGUGUGUGUGUGUGUGUGUGUUUUGUCUCAAUAAAACUAAUAGCGCUGCCCACCUAAAGCUCUUCACUGUGAUACCCGAAAAGACAAUUACAGGACAAAGAAGUACAAUAUUGGUUUGGAGGAUUUGUUCAGUGAUAAAUACUGUUAACAAUUACAUUUCACCUCUAACGUCUUCAUUAUGUGAUACAGUGAGUGUAGGAACAAAGACACGAGCGGCCCCUGCUUUACAUUACACUAAAGAGACUCUCAAGACUGAAAAACUGCAGCUUCAUUACACAACUUAUGACGGAGACGAAGCCCCCCGCCCUUCAGAGCUUCAGAAAUAGCUGAUACCAAUCUCGGCGUUGCCACUGAAGCCUCUUCUGGACCAAACAGCCAUUAACAUCUGGCUUUUGUCUUGUGUUGGGAAAGGUUACAAUCUGCAUUUAUUCCCGGGACAAAUGACUUUUGACUUUUGAAGUGAAACUAAAUCAACUCUCAACAAUUCUUAUUAUGUCUUAACGUACAAAACAUACUGUCAUUGUGCUCUCCUCAAAGCCACCAGACUCCAUUGAGAAAAACAGUCAUUGAACUUGCUGAUCAUUGUAAAAACAUUUCAUUCAAACGACAAAGAAACUAAAUAAAUGUCAUCAGAAUGGUCUUUGUUCGUGUUUCCACUGCUCCAACAAUCCUAACCAAAGCGUCUGAUUAGUAACCGAUAUAAAGAAGGAAUAAUAACCGUGACAUCUUCACUGGCCUCCAUGCUGCUUUCUGCUUUCCAGCAUGACACACCAGGAAAGAAAACACUCGUUUACUGGCAGUGGGAAAGGAGUCUAUCGUCUAUUUUUAGCGGGUUUUCCCACGUUUUCAUUUUUUGGGUAGAAAAAUCUCUUUGGCUCCUCACAUUGUGUUCCCUCCCCAUCCACCGCUCUCCCGUCGUUCUCCAUCCCUCCCUUUUGAUGCUGGGAGCACAGAGACGCAGGAUUUUCAGCCUUUUUAAGGAUUCAAACAAAGACUUCUGGGUUUUGGAGAUGACAUGAAAGUCUGCCAGCCGGCCGGCCCUCCUGGGGAUCUGGUGGUUCUGGCUGGUACUGGUUCACAAGGCAACUAAAGCGUCUACUCUUAUUAUGCAAUACGUUGCGGGGGACCCUGCUGGACGUGCACAGGGGCCUGCAACAUAACAAACACGAGCCUCUGCCUUCUCACUGGUGUGGGACAUAUGACAAUUAUGAAUGAACAAGACACAGCAAAGUGUUAGGAAUAAGGUUUGCUUGUUGUUCUAUACCUCUGUUGACAAAUGCAUUGACUAAAGUGCUUAAAGCAGUGAGUGUAUAGCUCGAAAUAUUAUUUGUCUCCAUGAUUUCACUUUAAACUGUUGAUUUUGCACUUAAGU
Molecule: long non-coding RNA, 3217 nt
Organism: Cottoperca gobio
Lineage: Eukaryota; Metazoa; Chordata; Actinopteri; Perciformes; Bovichtidae
Exons: 3
Source: RefSeq, a predicted model, not a curated record